RNAcentral lists this ribosomal RNA (423 nucleotides) under Triticum aestivum (bread wheat). Its description in RNAcentral is "partial small subunit ribosomal RNA". Lineage: Eukaryota; Viridiplantae; Streptophyta; Magnoliopsida; Poales; Poaceae. The record is from RNAcentral.
AUGGUUAAGUACCAAGCAGUCAGAGAGAAGACAGAGAAGAGUAAGUGGGAGAUAACACCCACUUAUAUGGAGAAGUUGGAGGAGUCAAAGAAGUACUCUAGGCAUUGCACUGCUUACAUGGCAGGUCCUGGUAUUUGGCAAGUCACUAGUGGGGAGUCUACCUACUGUGUGAACCUUGAUAAGUGGACCUGUGACUGCAAGAAGUGGGACCUAUGUGGUUGGCCAUGUAACCAUGCAGUUUAUGCCAUUACAAGAGUGAAGGGACAACCAGAAGACUAUGUGCAUGAGUUCUUCAAAAAACCAUUGUAUAAGGAAACAUACAAGCACAUCAUCUACCCUGUACCAGGGCCUGACUGUUGGCCUAAGACACCAACUGCUGACAUAGAUCCACCAGUGUUCAAAGAGAAGAAGGGCAGGAAGUAA